GACGAACGCUGGCGGCGUGCCUAAUACAUGCAAGUCGAACGCAGUGGGGACGGGUGAGUAACACGUGGGUAACCUCCCAUCAGAGGGGAUAACACUUGGCAACAGGCGCUAAACCCCUACUGAUGGAGGGACCCGGGGUGCAUUAGCUAGGUGGUGGGGUAACGGCUAACCAAGGCCACGAUGCCUAGCCGACCUGAGAGGGUGACCGGCCACACUGGGACUGAGACACGGCCCAGACUCCUACGGGAGGCAGCAGGAGGGAAUCUUGGGCAAUGGACGAAAGCCUGACCGAGCAACGCCGCGUGUAUGAAGAAGGUUUUCGGGUCGUAAAGCUCUGUUGGUGGGGAAGCGUUAUCUAACCAGAAAGCAACGGCUAACUACGUGCCAGCCGCCGCGGUAAUAC
This 403-nucleotide ribosomal RNA is filed under the name uncultured bacterium. RNAcentral's name for it is "partial 16S ribosomal RNA". It matches the Rfam family "Bacterial small subunit ribosomal RNA", at positions 28 to 526 of the family's 1533-position model. The record is from RNAcentral.